Prionailurus viverrinus (fishing cat) is the source of this 911-nucleotide long non-coding RNA. RefSeq lists it as uncharacterized. The transcript is spliced from 3 exons. The record is from RefSeq and is a predicted model, not a curated record. NCBI's taxonomy places the organism in Eukaryota, Metazoa, Chordata, Mammalia, Carnivora, Felidae.
GAAGACUGUCAGCUGCUUUCGGGAAGGAUGGAGUUCUACACAUUCUCUCUCCGUGUGUGCAUUGCUCCUGAAUGUUUUAGAGGUUCUCUGGAAGACUAAGGAGAGAAACAUGGAGACGAAGACGGAAAGCCAGGGAGAGACAGAGAGGUUCGGGCUGCCAAAGAUCAGAGACAGAGUAGACAGACAUCUUUCAGCACCACACACAGAGCUGGCAGAGAGGUGACGUAGGGGCACUUCUAGAAAAAAACAGCAGCUGCAGAGGAGCCUAGACACUUUACCAGGAAGAAAAGCAAGUAUGGAGGCUCCUAGAAGCCAGGCACAUGGCCAGGCUCUUCAUUUCGUUGGGUCGUGGGAGUUCAAGCUACAUGUUAUGCUCUGACUUCCUCGUCUCAUUCAGCCCCUUCCUCUUGUCAGACAUUUCCCAGUCCCGACUACACUCAAGCUUCGCCCAGGAAGAUUUUUCACACUGAUAAUUAGAAUCGACAUAUUUAUGGGGCUCUAUUUUUGCGUGGACCAUCCGGUCUAAGGCCAGUAUUCCUUUUGAAGUCUGGAGAAUUGGAACCUUGGAGGAACUGAACAGUUCCCAGAGAGCAGAGCCUCAGGGAAUAAAACUUUAGACAGGCCUUAAGAUCAUUAGCGCUCGCUUUCCUUCACGCACAGAUAUCUCUCUGGAAAACCUUUGGUGGCCAAAGUCAUUAAUGAUCACAUAUAAAACCCUAAUUCAUCCAAAUGGGAAUCCAAUUCUUGACAAGCUGAUUUCAUCUCCAUUAGAUUUGUGGUUUGCAGAAACUGAGACCACUUUGCCCCAUAACAAAAAGCAGUCACACUCCACCCUGUUGAAGUCUGAGUCACUCGAGCUUCGAGUUCCCGGGUGAUUUUGCAUGAGUCAUUGUUCCACAUGAGGAUUUCUA